Molecule: long non-coding RNA, 1820 nt
Filed under: Mustela putorius furo (domestic ferret)
Lineage: Eukaryota; Metazoa; Chordata; Mammalia; Carnivora; Mustelidae
Description: lncRNA (ENSMPUG00000030931.1)
Source: RNAcentral
UGUGGAUCUCCUCUUCAGGAGUCUAGAGGACAAAUUUCAUAAACGUCAGUUUCCUUGUCGGAGAAAUGUGGUAGCCGGAUUACAGGAACUAGUUUGUCAAGUGAGUGUAAGCAGCAUUCCAACUUUAAAAUUAUUAAACACUAGGUAAUUUUUCUUUAGGUUCGAUUCUAUGAGAGAUGUCAUGGCUUAGUAUUCCUUAAUUCUGGAUUGUUCCUGCGCCUUUGGACUGAAUGUGACACACGCUUCAUCUGUACAGCUGGUGUGUGUGUGUCCUGAUGCGUGUGUGCCAGGUUUAAGUUUAAAUGUCUGCAGUCUCAGGCCUUCGGUUCACCCAAAAGAAACGGAUGGCCGGCCUAGGAGCAAUCUGGCGAACUGGUGUUGCCUUGGAGACCCAGACUACCUGGGAGUAAUCCUGAUGGCCCCCAUCCAAGGUCGGUGUGGGAGGGGCUACGAGGAAAGGUCAGGACUCCACAGAGAAGGAAUGGAGGUUAAGAACAGGGGUCAGGAAGAUAUGUAUGCCUUUUGAUAUUAAGUAAAUAAGUGCAUUUAAAAUACACAACCAGGAUCUCUGACACUUACAGUAACAAGAGACUGGCUUAUCUUCCCCACUCAAUUUUGUUGGAUUUUAUUUUUUAUUUUUUUAAUAGAGUUUCUCUGAUGGUAUUCUUGAAACUAGUCCAGGAGGCCUCCUCACUUGCUAAAAUACAAAAACUACUUCUGCUCCUCUUCUCACAUCUAAAUCAGACCCUGACAUACCCAGCCACUCAGUGUGCCUUUUAGUUAAUUUUGUCUCCUUUAGCAAUGGUUUCCUUUUGCUUUAAAAGAAAAUUCUGCUGUUAACAAAUAUGCUGUACAAGCCAUGGGGGCGAAAGAACUUGGAGGAAGAGGAAGAACAUGUGUUUUCCUUAAUUCCUUCUCAAAAUAUGUGAGGGGAGAAAAUAAGGGAAGUUGAGAAAUAUGCCACUCAAUGCAGAAGUCACUUUGGACAAAUCUCUUGAAACCAAGGCCUAAAGGAACAACCACCACAGUAACAAAUAGUGGGUGUAAUUACAAAUGAGGACAUUCAGUGAAUCUCUAAAGCAGAUCCUACAGAGGUAUAGUCCACCAAAACCCACGCAAAAGAAGAAAGAAAGUAAAGGCAGAGCUGGAACCCCAGGAGAGAGGAGGAAAAGCAAAAGGUGAGAAUGGAGAAAGGAGAAGGCUGGGGAAGCAGGAAGGAGUAUAAAGUAUGAGAAGCUGGGUGCAGGGCGGCCCAUGAUGAACACCUGACGUUCAUAAUUAAAGUGUAAGAAAUACAUGUCUUUGGAAAGAGCAGACAAAAGCGAGUAGAACUUAGAGGUUCUCACCAAAAGGCACAUGUGGGAGAAAUGCAGGCAGCACAGAAGUGCAUGGGGUGAAAGGUGAGAGUUCCUACCCCCACCCCACCCUCGCAAAGGCACACCACGGAUGGCAGUGGGCAGUGGGCAGGGUGCAGGGGCCAGGGCAGGCGGGAGGCCCUGAGCACCGAAGGCAAGCGGCCAGGCUCUGACCUGCUGAAGCCCAGCCCGGGAUACUUGUGGUUUGACAAACGCUGUCAGCUGACGGUUUAACAGCAAGUGCUUCAACAGGCUUCCUGCCCCUGAAAAUCCUCACCUAAUUCUCAGCAAAUGUGAGUCUUAUUACCAAACAACAGCAAAAAACCACCACCUCCGGAUUUUAUUCAAUCAUCGAAAACAUAACCGUUGUUUUUUUUUUUUUUUUAAACGUGUGUUGGGAAUGUUGAGAAUGUAUCUGUAGCAAUUUUGCACAUAGCACAUUAAGCUUUGUUUGUGGAACAAACU